UCUCGGCAAAUUAUCCUCAUAAGUUAGACGAAAUGAAGGACCCUCUAGUAAUAUUUAAUUAAAUUAUUAAAAUUUUUAUUUAUAAAUUAAUAUAAAUAAAGAUAUUUAAAAUUGGUUAUUUAUUCUGAUGGUGGCACAUAAUCGGAGGCCCCGACUGUUUACUUAAAACACAGCUUUCUGCAACGAUUAAUAUCUUUGUAUAGGAAGCGAAUUUUGCCCAAUGCCAUUAAUAUAAUGUUGAUAACCUUUUUAGUGUUUAUUGAUUGAAGUUCUGGUCAAUGGCGGUCUUAACCAUGAGGAUCCUAAGGUAGCAAAAUUAAUUGUCCAUUAAAUGUGGUCCCGA
This 343-nucleotide ribosomal RNA is filed under the name uncultured fungus. Its description in RNAcentral is "LSU rRNA". The stretch from base 140 to 343 matches the Rfam family "Bacterial large subunit ribosomal RNA", at positions 1785 to 1991 of the family's 2925-position model. Lineage: Eukaryota; Fungi. The record is from RNAcentral.